RNAcentral lists this ribosomal RNA (464 nucleotides) under uncultured bacterium. RNAcentral describes it as "partial 16S ribosomal RNA". It matches the Rfam family "Bacterial small subunit ribosomal RNA", at positions 29 to 507 of the family's 1533-position model. The record is from RNAcentral.
ACGCACGCUGGCGGCGUGCUUCACCCCUGCCAGUCGCACGGAAAGGCCCUGCUUGCAGGGUACUCGAGUGGCGAACGGGUGAGUAACACGUGGGUGAUCUGCCCUGCACUUCGGGAUAAGCCUGGGAAACUGGGUCUAAUACCGGAUAGGAGCCAUUUUUAGUGUGAUGGUUGGAAAGUUUUUUCGGUGUAGGAUGAGCUCGCGGCCUAUCAGCUUGUUGGUGGGGUAAUGGCCUACCAAGGCGGCGACGGGUAGCCGGCCUAAGAGGGUGGACGGCCACAUUGGGACUGAGAUACGGCCCAGACUCCUACGGGAGGCAGCAGUGGGGAAUAUUGCACAAUGGGCGCAAGCCUGAUGCAGCGACGCCGCGUGGGGGAUGACGGCCUUCGGGUUGUAAACUCCUUUCGCUAGGGACGAAGCUUUUUGUGACGGUACCUAGAUAAGAAGCACCGGCUAACUACGUG